RNAcentral lists this microRNA (22 nucleotides) under Gallus gallus (chicken). Its description in RNAcentral is "gga-miR-12278-5p". Lineage: Eukaryota; Metazoa; Chordata; Aves; Galliformes; Phasianidae. The record is from miRBase by way of RNAcentral.
AUCCUUCAAGUGCCUGAUAACA